This is a long non-coding RNA of Panicum virgatum (switchgrass), 1637 nucleotides long. RefSeq lists it as uncharacterized. The record is from RefSeq and is a predicted model, not a curated record. Lineage: Eukaryota; Viridiplantae; Streptophyta; Magnoliopsida; Poales; Poaceae. The transcript is spliced from 3 exons.
CGCUGGAUGGCAGGUACCACCCAUUUCGGCGACCGUAGAUACACGCCUCGAGAUAAGUGAUGUUUGCUUGCGUGGCCGGAGAGAGAGUGUUAAACAACGCUGACAUGGCUGGACGUUGAGUGAUUAAAGCUGCCAGUCAAACAUAUACUAGGAUCCGUGUUCACACUACGUUCCCAUUUUCAUCAUCUUCCCUCUUCCGCUCUUCGGCUCUUCCUUCUACGGCACACCAGAGAAAAAAAAGGGGUAAAACAAGGAACCUGCUGCAGCAGUGAUGGUGGUGGUGGAGGUGGUUCCCGGCAGCCGCUGCGGCGCCGGUCCCGAGCAGCCAGCGGCCGCCGUUGCCCCUGUCGGAGCCACCCCUCGCCAUGACGGUCUCCAAGGUGCACGGCCACAAGCGACAUGCUCAUCCGCCCGGAGCUCCAUGCUGGGCCAAGAACAUGGAGAGCCAUCUGCAACCGCGACCCCGGGGAAUCAAAAGAUGUUGUGAAGGUGCUAAAAAAAUGAAUUGGACACAAAAAUCCAAAUGUCCACCUCCUUGCACUUACAGUGAGUAUCUUCACCUUGUCAUCUACUUCAAAAUGCAGUGGGCUAUUGGUAACUGUUAUUUUAAGAUAUUUUUGUUUUAUAUGAUGCUUCUAAAAUCAAACCCUGCCUCUCUGUUGUCUUAUACAUUUGCAUUUUUUUCUGAUUUCAGAAACAUUGCACUUUAUAUUUCCAUCCUUUAUCCUGAGUUUCAUGGCUACCCAGUCCUAGUUACUCUCGUGUAAUCAUCAUACUCAUGCAUCCUGCAACACCAUCAGCAUUUGUCCUAUGUUUCAUGGCUCAUUUCUUUUUAAAAUUGCAUAUAUAUAUAUGGUGUUCUUUAUUAAGAGGUUUUUUAAAUGCUGUAGGCGGUUGGGUCACUGUAUAAUGAGAUUAGUGGGUGUUACCUUUGACAGUGGCAUUAUUAGUAUUAUAUUUGAUGUGAACUCCAUUGUUGUAUGUAUGUUGGAAGUAGCAAAGGAGAAGUUUUGUUUGCUCUGAUCUAACUGAACCAGGUGGUUUCAUGGAGUCGAGUGAUCUUUGGAGUUGGAGGAAGUAGGAAAGGGAAAUGUUUCCAUCCUGGGGAAAUCUUCAUUUGCUAGCAGUAUGAAGUGGCAGCCUUAGGGUAUCAUUGAUGGAGGAUUAGUGCAUGUGUCUGAUCUUGCUGCAGGGAAGGAUUGUUUUUCUGCAUGUAUCUAUGGCCAUGCUGACAAGGGAACUUAUGAUUGUGGGUUCUCUAGGAGUGACGAACUAUAUGUGUGCAAUGCAGAGGUUAGAUUGUCUGAUGGUCUGCCUAUGCUACCUGAUGCGGGAAUGACUCAAAUGCUGGACUGUAACAAUGGGUCACCACUGGUGAAGCAGGCAUCGAAAAGAUUGCAGUUUUGUUGCAUUGGGGUCUACAUUUGCCGGUGAUUGUUGCUGGUUUGGGGGGGGUGCGUGGUGAUGGAGAUGGGACAUUUGUGAGCAGGUUAUGGGAUUUGGUUUUGUUCUUAUGGAGAGGCUGUGUUGCAGCGUUGUAUUAACACUAGUCGUAUCGAGGAAAUGUAAGUUUAUAUUUUAUCAUGACAAGAAGGUGAACCUGUGUAAACUUGUAUAUGUAUUCAGUUUAAUAUAUU